GGAGGGCGAUUGAGGCGGGCCGGGACGGCGGCGCCGCUGCUGCCGAGCCGGGGGCUGGGUGCGGGGGGGGGACCCGCCGCCCCCCCCCCCCUCGGGCGGAGGGGUAGAGCGCGCCGCCAGAGGCGGUCGGGCGCCGCGCGCGCCGGCCGUUGCGGCCGUUAGGGCCGUUAAACCGCGCUCCUUCACCACAGAGCAGCUGCGCUCGCCUCCCUCAAGCUCAAGCCCCGGGGCUGGAGGCCGCCGCCUCGGCCAGAUUUCCCAGACUGUUGGUCUAUGUGGUAGAAGAUACCCAUUUUAUUAUGCAGGCAGAGAACUGCUCUACGUCACACCCUGAAGACUUCACUAGAUGGACCAGCCUCUACAAACUAAUAAAUUUUUUACUAUCUGAAAAAUGAACAGCGGGCUGGAGAAGACUGGAUGUUGUUAGCAACUGAAACGAUGAACAGCUGUUCUGGGAUGAGAUUGACAGUAACAGCGUAAGCAAGAUGCUGAAAAAGAUUUCUGCCUCCUUUAAAUAAUUUCAACCAUAGUUCAUUGUUUUCUUUCUCACCACAUUUCCUGCCUGAAUCCCCCCAAAGAUCAAACACUUUUCACCUAUACAGCAGGUCCAAGUUGUUCUGGAUUUUUUCUUUUUUGGUGAAGUCCCAGAUCUCUCCACUUCACAGCUGUUCUUCCCAUUGCUGUCCCCCCUCCCCAUGCCCUGGAAGAGUUUAAUACUUGCAGAAACCUGCUGGAGGUGGUGGUGGUGGUGGCGGCAGGGCAGCAGUAUUCCUUACCGCAAGAGAAAAUCAUGCCUCCUUUACAUAGCUUAACAUACUUCCACAUUUAUAUAUGGGAAACGGGUACUUUUUCAUAUAGUGAGAAUUACCUGCAUAUUUGGACAAGAUAUGUUUUGUCACCUGUGUGCCAUCAUGCUUCCCUCAAAUCAGGGUUAAAAUGUUGCUCCAGGCUCUCCUUCUGUGUCUAGAUCUUCUUUCUCCCUAAGUAUUUUUUCUCGACACAAGACAAUAAAAUUAUUUAAAAAUCAAACAGGCAAUUAAGUAGGCAUACCACUCUGGUAUCUAUUUUUGAAUACUGUGAUGGCAUCUUUGUAUCUAGCACAGUAAUUUUGGUCGUUUGGGCUGGUUUUGUUGAUGUCUUUCUGCAGCAAUAGUGGGAGCAAGAAUUGCAGGUCCUGUUUGUUGUUUUGUUUGUAUGAAACUCUUACGAUCUACGGGACUCAGUCGUGGAGCUACUGUUUCUCAUUUCUGUCACAAUUAAUUAAACUAAUAAUAGAAUAAAAAACCUCUUUCCCUUAUUUUUGGAGGUUAAAUCCUCACUUUUUCCUCAGAAGCAGGGAACAGGUUCUACA
This is a long non-coding RNA of Dromaius novaehollandiae (emu), 1351 nucleotides long. RefSeq lists it as uncharacterized. The transcript is spliced from 4 exons. The record is from RefSeq and is a predicted model, not a curated record. Lineage: Eukaryota; Metazoa; Chordata; Aves; Casuariiformes; Dromaiidae.